AUAUUUACUUGGCAGGGGAGAUAACAUGAUCACGAAGGUGGUUUUCCCAGGGCGAGGCUUAUCCAUUGCACUCCAGAUGUGUUGACCCCUGCGAUUUCCCCAAAUGUGGGAAACUCGAUUGCAUAAUUUGUGGUAGUGGUACUGCGUUCGCGCUUUCCCCUG
Homo sapiens (human) is the source of this 162-nucleotide small nuclear RNA. Ensembl annotates it as RNA, variant U1 small nuclear 2. Its record names the gene RNVU1-2. NCBI's taxonomy places the organism in Eukaryota, Metazoa, Chordata, Mammalia, Primates, Hominidae. The record is from Ensembl.